GUGCUCACUUUGGCAUCACAUAUACUAAAAUUGAUUGAUACAGAGAAGAUUAAUUAGUAUGGCCCAAAGAUGACUUGCAAAUUUGUGAAGCAUUCCAUAUUUUU
Cavia porcellus (domestic guinea pig) is the source of this 104-nucleotide small nuclear RNA. The record is from Ensembl. NCBI's taxonomy places the organism in Eukaryota, Metazoa, Chordata, Mammalia, Rodentia, Caviidae.